UACGGAGGAUGCGAGCGUUAUCCGGAUUUAUUGGGUUUAAAGGGUGCGUAGGCGGACUGUUAAGUCAGCGGUAAAAGCCCGGGGCUCAACCCCGGCGAGCCGUUGAAACUGGCUGUCUUGAGAUGUCGAGAGGUAUGCGGAAUGCGCAGUGUAGCGGUGAAAUGCAUAGAUAUAACUUAGAACACCGAUAGCGAAGGCAGCUUACCAGACUGAGUCUGACGCUGAUGCACGAGAGCAUGGGCAGCGAACAGG
This 252-nucleotide ribosomal RNA is filed under the name uncultured Bacteroidales bacterium. Its description in RNAcentral is "partial 16S ribosomal RNA". It matches the Rfam family "Bacterial small subunit ribosomal RNA", at positions 524 to 776 of the family's 1533-position model. The record is from RNAcentral. Lineage: Bacteria; Pseudomonadati; Bacteroidota; Bacteroidia; Bacteroidales.